Tachyglossus aculeatus (Australian echidna) is the source of this 138-nucleotide small nucleolar RNA. Lineage: Eukaryota; Metazoa; Chordata; Mammalia; Monotremata; Tachyglossidae. The record is from RefSeq and is a predicted model, not a curated record.
ACCUCCUCAGGAUCGCAUCUGGGGAGUUUCCGGUACUCUACCAGGCUCAGCUUUGGGAAGGAGAGCCAAGCAGAGGCCUACCCAUUCCAUUCCUAGCUUGGGCAGCGGUUAGAGAGUGAAAGGCAAUCUGCUACAAGU